GCCUUCAUGGUGUAAUGGUAACACACUCGGCGCAUAUUCGAGAGGUCCAGGUUCGAAUUCUGGCCAGGGAA
RNAcentral lists this transfer RNA (71 nucleotides) under Stegodyphus mimosarum. It matches the Rfam family "tRNA". From Rfam's summary of the family: Transfer RNA (tRNA) molecules are approximately 80 nucleotides in length. Their secondary structure includes four short double-helical elements and three loops (D, anti-codon, and T loops). Lineage: Eukaryota; Metazoa; Arthropoda; Arachnida; Araneae; Eresidae. The record is from Rfam by way of RNAcentral.